Molecule: ribosomal RNA, 253 nt
Filed under: uncultured bacterium
Lineage: Bacteria
Description: partial 16S ribosomal RNA
Rfam family: Bacterial small subunit ribosomal RNA
Source: RNAcentral
UACAGAGGUUCCAAGCGUUGUUCGGAUUCACUGGGCGUAAAGGGUGCGUAGGUGGUGAGGUAAGUCGGAUGUGAAAUCUCCGGGCUCAACCCGGAAAUGGCAUUGGAAACUACCUUGCUAGAGGAUUUGAGGGGGGAUUGGAAUACUUGGUGUAGCAGUGAAAUGCGUAGAUAUCAAGUGGAACACCAGUGGCGAAGGCGAAUCCCUGGAAAAUACCUGACACUGAGGCACGAAAGCUAGGGGAGCAAACAGG